GCUUUCGUAGCUCAGUUGGUUAGACCACCCGUUUAGUAAACGGGAGGUCCUGAGUUCCACUCUCAACGAAAGCA
Oryza glumipatula is the source of this 74-nucleotide non-coding RNA. The record is from Rfam. NCBI's taxonomy places the organism in Eukaryota, Viridiplantae, Streptophyta, Magnoliopsida, Poales, Poaceae.